RNAcentral lists this non-coding RNA (27 nucleotides) under Cricetulus griseus (Chinese hamster). Lineage: Eukaryota; Metazoa; Chordata; Mammalia; Rodentia; Cricetidae. The record is from RNAcentral.
UAUGUAUCUGAAAACCAAAAGAAAUCC